Molecule: non-coding RNA, 24 nt
Filed under: Arabidopsis thaliana (thale cress)
Lineage: Eukaryota; Viridiplantae; Streptophyta; Magnoliopsida; Brassicales; Brassicaceae
Source: RNAcentral
AGGAAGCUUCACAGGCAACCUCUC